This 24-nucleotide non-coding RNA is filed under the name Cricetulus griseus (Chinese hamster). Lineage: Eukaryota; Metazoa; Chordata; Mammalia; Rodentia; Cricetidae. The record is from RNAcentral.
UGAACUAAUGCUUGCAUAGUAAGC